Long non-coding RNA from Neofelis nebulosa (Clouded leopard), 678 nucleotides. RefSeq lists it as uncharacterized. NCBI's taxonomy places the organism in Eukaryota, Metazoa, Chordata, Mammalia, Carnivora, Felidae. The transcript has 4 exons. The record is from RefSeq and is a predicted model, not a curated record.
GCAGGCUGCAGGCUUUGAGCUGUCAGCACAGAGCCCAACGCGGGGCUCAAACCCAGGAACCACGAGAUCAUGACCUGAGCCAAAGUCGGAUUCUCAAUGACUGAGCCACCCAGGCUCCUCUCAUAUGGGCAUUUUAGCAUCUCAUAUUUUGAGAAGAAAGCAAUCAAUGAGAGUUCCUGUUGUUCCACAGACUCGCCAGUGUUUGAUGUUGUCAGUGUUGCAGAUUUUGGCCAUUCUAAUAGAUGUGUCAUUCGGUAAAGCCUGGGUGUGUGACAGACAACAAGGAACUAUUUGAGGACAUCCCAGUGGAUGGCAGAGCUGAAAGAAUGGAAUAACGGAUUAAAAUUGGGUGAGUUAGUCUCAAAAAUUUUUUGGAAGAGGAUUUAAAAAGAAACUGGAUGAAAAUCUGUCUGGAAGCUAGUUGGGAGAUUAUUUUGAAGAGAUGAUGGUUCCUGGAGCCCGGCUCCUGAUUGCUCAAGGAAGUACCUGAGAAUAAUGAACAGUAACGUUGGGACAGAAGAGAAGCUCAACCCAGAAGUGUUGUUCUGAGUGCCUGGACCCUCCCUGGCAGGAGCAGUUGACCCAAGAGAAGAUUUUGCAAAUAGGAGGAACCAAAACUUGGCACCAACUUUUGGAAACACAGGUUAACUGAUGCCAAGAGAUUCAAAAUGAAAAUGC